Molecule: non-coding RNA, 72 nt
Organism: Picea glauca (white spruce)
Lineage: Eukaryota; Viridiplantae; Streptophyta; Pinopsida; Pinales; Pinaceae
Source: Rfam
GGUUCUAUGGUGUAGUGGUUAGCACUUUAGACUUUGAAUCUAGUGGUGUGAGCUCAAAUCUCAUUGUGCCCU